This 464-nucleotide ribosomal RNA is filed under the name uncultured bacterium. RNAcentral describes it as "partial 16S ribosomal RNA". It matches the Rfam family "Bacterial small subunit ribosomal RNA", at positions 339 to 795 of the family's 1533-position model. The record is from RNAcentral.
CUACGGGCGGCAGCAGUGGGGAAUAUUGCACAAUGGGCGCAAGCCUGAUGCAGCCAUGCCGCGUGUAUGAAGAAGGCCUUCGGGUUGUAAAGUACUUUCAGCGGGGAGGAAGGGAGUAAAGUUAAUACCUUUGCUCAUUGACGUUACCCGCAGAAGAAGCACCGGCUAACUCCGUGCCAGCAGCCGCGGUAAUACGGAGGGUGCAAGCGUUAAUCGGAAUUACUGGGCGUAAAGCGCACGCAGGCGGUUUGUUAAGUCAGAUGUGAAAUCCCCGGGCUCAACCUGGGAACUGCAUCUGAUACUGGCAAGCUUGAGUCUCGUAGAGGGGGGUAGAAUUCCAGGUGUAGCGGUGAAAUGCGUAGAGAUCUGGAGGAAUACCGGUGGCGAAGGCGGCCCCCUGGACGAAGACGGACGCUCAGGUGCGAAAGCGUGGGGAGCAAACAGGAUUAGAUACCCUCGUAGUC